RNAcentral lists this transfer RNA (65 nucleotides) under Cornufer vitianus (Fiji ground frog). Its description in RNAcentral is "Platymantis vitianus (Fiji ground frog) tRNA-Cys". The record is from RNAcentral. Lineage: Eukaryota; Metazoa; Chordata; Amphibia; Anura; Ceratobatrachidae.
AGGUCCUGGGGUGUAACAUGCGUGGUUGCAAACCAUGAGAAGCAGGGUAAGUCUUGCCGGGAUCU